GGGAGCCUGAGAAACGGCUACCACAUCUAAGGAAAGCAGCAGGCGCGCAAAUUACCCAAUCUUAAUACUGGGAGGUAGUGACAAGAAAUAACAAUACAGGACUUUUUGGUUUUGUAAUUGGAAUGAGUUAAGUAUAAACCCCUUUACAAGUAUCAAUUGGAGGGCAAGUCUGGUGCCAGCAGCCGCGGUAAUUCCAGCUCCAAUAGCGUAUAUUAAAGUUGUUGCAGUUAAAAAGCUCGUAGUUGGAU
This 248-nucleotide ribosomal RNA is filed under the name Cryptosporidium meleagridis. RNAcentral describes it as "partial small subunit ribosomal RNA". It matches the Rfam family "Eukaryotic small subunit ribosomal RNA", at positions 390 to 639 of the family's 1831-position model. Lineage: Eukaryota; Apicomplexa; Conoidasida; Eucoccidiorida; Cryptosporidiidae. The record is from RNAcentral.